GCCUCUAUGGCGUAGUGGUAGCGCGUGUCACUUGUACAAAAUUCACAGGAAUGACAAGGUCUCUCGUUCGAUCCGGGAUGGAGGCA
Molecule: non-coding RNA, 86 nt
Organism: Ustulina deusta
Lineage: Eukaryota; Fungi; Ascomycota; Sordariomycetes; Xylariales; Xylariaceae
Source: the annotation of a GenBank genome assembly